GGAGAGGUGUCCGAGAGGCCGAAGGUGACAGACUCGAAAUCUGUUGUGGCGCAAGUCACCGUGGGUUCGAAUCCCACCCUCUCCGCCA
Molecule: transfer RNA, 88 nt
Filed under: Desulfuromonadales bacterium
Lineage: Bacteria; Pseudomonadati; Thermodesulfobacteriota; Desulfuromonadia; Desulfuromonadales
Description: tRNA-Ser
Rfam family: tRNA
About the family: Transfer RNA (tRNA) molecules are approximately 80 nucleotides in length. Their secondary structure includes four short double-helical elements and three loops (D, anti-codon, and T loops).
Source: RNAcentral